CCCCAUUUUCUCCUGCCCUUGGAUAUCACUGCUCCUUCAGAUUUAGAUGGACUCCUAAAUCAUAUGCUCCACUGAUUCUUAGGCCUUUAUACUUAGAAUAAAUUAUACCACCAGCUUCCCUUGCUUUCAGCUUGCAAAUGGCAGAUCAUGAGACUUCUUAGGCUCCAUAAUCAUGUAAGCACAUAGCCUGCUGGUUCUAUUUCUCUGAAGGACUCUAAUACAGAUUUGAUACCAGGAGUGAUUCUAGAGGAACAGAAUUUUAAGAAUGAGUUUUCUGAAUUGGUUCUGGGGUUUCUGAAACUGGCUCUCUAAUCUUAUAUAAAGACUAAUAGUCCAUGGCGAGCUAUGUAUAGAGAUACAUAAAAUAUCUGCACUAGGUACUUCUGAUCAACUACUAUAUGAAGCAAAGAGAUAAGUGAUGCUGUAUAUGAUACUUCUGAACAUUUUUUGGAAACUAAGGGAUAAUGCCAUUGGUUGGUUGCCUCUAACAUUGUUGGACAAGUAGUGAAAGAAAAGGAUGAACUAAGGGAUCCCAUUUCUCAGCUCAAGCAUCCCAUAAAUGACCUAAGAGCUCCUAUGUGUGCCCUGAAGGAGAAUCUUAUCUCCUCCAGCCACAGGGCUGAAACUGGUGAAAAUCAAACACAGAACCUCAUUUUGUUAUUAGCUGUAUUACAAUGUAAGCUGAACUCCCAGCUUCACAAGGUGUUUACUGUUAUAGCAAAGGCAUUGAUUGGGAAGAAUGAGAUCCUGUAAGUGGGACUAGGGACAUAUGGGAAGACUCUGAUGAAGCUGGAAACAUUGAACCCCUGUACUCUGAUGAGUCUUCUUUGCAGGGGAAGAGCUUUUUCUACCUCUACUGUAGGUGGUAGCAGCUUCUUCAUCUACAUUUGAGGGGCUAACCUGGUAUUACCUGAGGAAACAGUAAUGAUUUCUUCUGAUAUAACCAGCAUGCAAGACAGUGCUGAUUCUCUUCAGGAUCCAUCCCCAUCAUCCCACUUUGCUUCUAGACCUAUAACUGGAGUCAAAUCCCAGAAGACCCCUAAUGGUGAGAUACAAAACAUGACCCAUGAGGAGGUACAAUAUGCUCCAAAAGAACUAUUUAAGUUUUCUAAUUUAUACCAACAGACUCCAGGGAACAUCGAUGGAUAUUGAGGAUGUGGGAUAACAUGAAAGAAGCACAAAGUUGGGUCAGGCCAAAUUUAUUGAUAUGGGAUCACUAACCAGAGAUUUUGCAUUUAAUGCUGCAGGGGAGUUAGAAAGGGCUCUAACAGUUUGUUGAUUAAUUGGCUGAAACAUGGACCAAAAGAAGGCCAAUUGUAAAUGGCUGACCUGCUUUGUUUUAAUAUAGAGGAAGGAGUUCAGAGGUGUAGGGAGACUGUAAUGUUACAGUGUACUCAUUUAAGACCUACUCACCCACACUGAGGGUCCACAGGACUAAUGCUUUGAGGAAUAAAUUUGUGAAGGGAGUCCAGCAUCCUUGAAGAGCCCCUUGAAGAGGGCUCUUCAGGGGCUCUUCUCUGUAGGCUAGGCUUUAGAGUGGGAACCACAGACACUCAAUUGGAAAACCUUAAAGAUUGGGAACAUAUGGAUCCCAGGGCAACGGGCAACAGGAGUCAAGUGGCAGCACUCAACCACCAAAGACGAGGUAGGCAUGGUUACCAUAAUAAACAAAAGAGUCAAAGCAGCAAUCACAAUAAUCCGACUCAUGCACAGCUAUGGUGCUGUCUAGUUAAUCAUGAUAUUCCUAGAAGUGAAACAGAAAUUCUUAUUUGAUCUAUAUAAGCAAAAAGUUCUAAGUCAAGUCAACAGAGUCUAACUCAAGUCAUAAAAGCAGUGAAUGACAGUCCUUCAAUCAAUUCCCAAGUUGAAUCAGUUUAGAAGCCAAGAACCUCUUGAAUGAAUGGGAGGCCAGGUACCCUUUAGGAAGGCCUUGAUACAGCAAUGAAAAUUUAUAUGGCUAAUCUUUCUCCUAGCCUCCCAGAGGGACCUAUGGCCUUUUAACAGGGCUGUACAUUGGGGAAAAGGAGAUAAUCAUACCUUUCAGAGACUACUAAACAUUAGCUCUGAACUGACACUGAUUCCAAAAGACCCAUAAUGUCACUGUGCCCCUCCAGUCACAGUAGGAGAGCUUGUGGAAGUCCAGUGAUUAAUGGGUUAUUGGUCCAGGUCUGUUUCACAGUAGGUUCAGUGGCUCCCUGAACCCAUCCUAUGGUUAUUUGCCCAGGUGUAGACUGUAUAAUUGGAAUAGACAUACUUAGCAGCUGGCAAAAUCUUCACAUUGGUUCCCUGACCUGUAGAAUAUGGGCUAUUACAGUGGAAAAGGCCAACUGGAAGCCAUUUAAGUACCACAUCCCAAGAAAGAUUGCAGAUUAGUGCCACCAUUUGAAAGAUACAGGGGUAGUGAUUCCCAUCACAUUCCUAUUCAACUCUCCUAUUUGGGCUGUGCAGAAAACAGAUGAAUCUUAGAGAAUGCCAAUGGAUUAUUUUAUUGUAAGCUUAACCAGGUGGUGACUCCAGUUGCAGCUGCUGUACCUGAUGUUGUUUCACUGUUUGAGCAAAUUAACACAUCCCCUGGUCCUAGGUAUGCAGUUUUUGAUCUGGCAAAUGCAUUUUUCUUCCAUACCUGUCCAUAAGGCCCACCAGAAGCAGUGUGAUUUCUGCUGGUAUGGCCAGAAAUACAUAUACAAAUACCUCUUUAGGGUUAUAGCAACCCUCCAUCCCUAGGUCAUGAUUUAGUUUGCAGGGAUCUUGAUUGUCUUUCCCUCCCACAAGAUAUCAUACUGGUCCAUUACAUUAAUGACAUUAUGCUGAUUAGACCUAGUGAGUGAGAAGUAGCAACUACUCUAGGCUUAUUAGUAAGACACUUGCAUAUCAGGGUGGGAAAUAAAUCUAAAAUUCACUUCUACCCCAAAAUAUUUAGGGGUCCUGUUACGUAGGGUGUGUUGAGAUAUCCCUUCUAAGGUGAAGAAUAAGUUGUAGCUGGCUCUCCUACAGCCAAGAAAGAAGCACAAUACCUCUUUGGAUUUUGGAGGCAACAUAUUCCUCAUUUGAGUGUUACUCUAGUCCAUUUACCAAGUGACCUGAGAAGCUGCUAGUUUUAAGUGGGGCCCAGAGAAAGAAAAGGCUCUGCCAUAGGUCCAGGCCACUAUGCAAGCUGCUCUUCCACUUGGGCCUUAUGAUCCAGCAGACUCAAUGGUGCUUGAAGUGUCAGUUUCAGAUAAGAUGCUGUUUGGAGCUUUGGGAAGGUUUCUAGAGAUGAACUGCAAUGCAGGCUCUUAAGAUUUAGGGGCAAGACUCUGCCAACACCUUCAUAAAACUACUUUCCUUUUGAGAAACAACUUUUGGUCUAUUACUGGGCCUCAGUAGAAGCUGAAUGCUUGCUCAUGGGCUACCAAGUUACCAUGUGACCUGAGAUAACACCAUGAACUGGGUAUUCACCAACCCAAAAGUGGGCUUGCACACCAACAUUCCACCAAAUAGAAGGUAUAUAUUCAAAAUCAGGCCUGAGCAGGCCCUGAAGUCACUUACAUGAAGAAGUGGCCCAAAUGUCCAAAGUCCCCAUUCUUGCUCCACUGUCUUCUCUCUGCCAGCCUACACAUAUAGCUUCAUGGGGAAUUCCUUGUGAUCAGCUGACAGGGGAAGAGAAGACUCAGGCCUGCUUUACAGAUGGUUCUGUAUGAUAUAUACAAGCACACCUGGAUGUGGUCAGCUGCAGCACUGCAGCCCCUCUCGAGGACAUCCCUGAAGGAAGUGGUGAAGGGAAAUCCUACCAGUGGGUAGAACUUGGGGCAGUGCAUUUCUCCUUGGAAGGAGAAAUGGCCAGAUGUGGAAUUACGUAACAGUUCAUGGGCUGUGACUGCAUAAUCAGGAACAUAGAAGGGACUUGAUUUGAAAAUUAGUAACAAAGAAAUUUGGAAAGGGGGUAUAUAGAUAGACCUCUCUGAAUGGCCAAAAAACAUGAACAGGGAUGCGUGGGUGGCUCAGUGGUUGAGCGUCUGCCUUUGGCUCAGGUGUGAUCCCAGGGUCCUGGGAUCAAGUCCUGCAUCCGGCUCCCCGCAGAGAGCUCUUCUCCCUCUGCCUCUCUCUCUAUCUCUCUCUGUGUCUCUUAUGAAUAAAUAAAUAAGAUCUCAAAAAAAAAAAAAACCAAACAAACCACAAACAUAUUUGUGUCCCAUGUAGUCACCAAAGGGUUACCCCAGAAGAGGAUUUUAAUACACAGAUAGACUAUGUACAAUGGAGUGUUACUCGGCCAACAGAAGGAAUGAAAUCUUGCCAUUUGCAAUGAUGUGGAUGGAACUAGAAGGUAUUAUGCUAAGCAAAAUCAGUCAUAGAAAAUAAAAUAUCAUAUGGUUUCACUCAUAUGUGGAAUUUAAGAAACAAAACAGAUGAACAUAGGGGAAGACAA
RNAcentral lists this long non-coding RNA (4405 nucleotides) under Canis lupus familiaris (dog). Its description in RNAcentral is "lncRNA (ENSCAFG00845007549.1)". The record is from RNAcentral. Lineage: Eukaryota; Metazoa; Chordata; Mammalia; Carnivora; Canidae.